UAUAGAUUGAUUAGAUUGAGUGUCAGAACUCAACAAAGACCAUCUAAUGAUGGAGCUUGCUUCAGGAAAGGCCUUCAACAAGGAGUUGUAGUGCUCUCAGGCUGUCCUAGGCUCUACUGAACCUCUCAAAAUAUGACAGCAGGGGAAGUUUAUUUUGAUGAGCACCUGUUCUUAGUUGGCUGAUUUUGGCAAGGAUUCCUGCAUUUCCAUGAUACAAUCCCACUGGCUUCAAAUGAAAAUACAGCCUUGAAACUGGAAUUGAAGAAUGAGUACGAUGCUGUGCUUGAACAAGAAUAUGCUCUGUUGCAGGCACAGAAGGAAGCACUCAAUAGGAAUCACCACUUUAAGCACAAUGACCCUGUUAAGCUUCACUGUCCUGGGCACUGAUGUGUGCUGAAGAAAAAAGGGGCAUCUUGAUGCCAGAUCCUCUGCUCAAAAGGGGAUUUGUGGAACUGUGCAGAGUUGGGGAACACUCCAUCCACCUUGAAUAAUAUGGUACAGUGAGGUCAGACUGUUGUUAUGUGGCACAAUACAGCCUUGAAGAAGGAUAUAGUGCGGACAUGAAUGAUUCUCAGCUCCCCACCGACCCCGCUUUUGCUUCAGAGAUGUAUUCAGUAUUCAAGGCUGGCACUCAGUUCAUUGGAAGCACUCUGUCUCCAAAACCCAGAAGGCUGAAAAUAUUUAGGAAAGAAUCAAGGAAAUGUCAAUAACUAAAGCAGUCACCUUUCCAGCCAAUCCUAUCACCUUCUCACACAUUAUAACAUACCCAUGAUACUUUUAGUUUAGGAGGAACAUUCUGGAUUGAUAAAUAGAAAUCAGAAAUAUGUGGGAAGUACUACUCUCAGGAAUGUGUUGCUGGUGGAAGGUCUGCAUUUCCAAAAAUGCAUCACUCCUUGAAGGCUACAGUGUGUAGAAGAACUUGGGCACCUUUAUUUUUGAAAUAUGCAAGUGUAAAAAGUGAAUUUCUACUUUGCUCUGAAAUUAGGCAACAUUGAUUGUGUUUUUAUAAUGUCAUUACAAAUUUAAGAUUUCUCGUAACUAUAAGAAUGUACUAGUUUUAUGUGACACAAAUGUGUGCAUUAAGAAAUUUUGGCUGGACAGAACAUGAAAUCAAUCAUAUUAGGAUCAUCCUUUUCCCAGAACAAAAAUGUCAACCAACCAAGUUUAAAAAACCAAUUUGCCAACUCCCUUCCCUUCUACUCUACUUCUUUAAGACAUACUGCAUCU
Corapipo altera (White-ruffed manakin) is the source of this 1227-nucleotide long non-coding RNA. RefSeq lists it as uncharacterized. NCBI's taxonomy places the organism in Eukaryota, Metazoa, Chordata, Aves, Passeriformes, Pipridae. The record is from RefSeq and is a predicted model, not a curated record. The transcript has 3 exons.